This 333-nucleotide long non-coding RNA is filed under the name Nicotiana benthamiana. Its description in RNAcentral is "long non-coding RNA (NBEN_LNC026643)". The record is from RNAcentral. Lineage: Eukaryota; Viridiplantae; Streptophyta; Magnoliopsida; Solanales; Solanaceae.
AGGAAAGGGCUGCAUCAUCAAAAGGUUUCUCCUAACCCCCAUGUAUGCUUCAUUAAGGCCUAUAAGGAACUGAAACACCUUAUUCUCAUCAUCUUCCUGAAUUAUCCCAUUCUUAGCAGCACACACACACCUCUACCCAUGAUUAGUACACAUUAUACCUAGCUCAUCCCACAGACUUUUGAGCUUAUUAAAAUAUGAGGCUACAUCUAGAAAGCCUUGAGAUGUGUGAGAAAGUUCCCUUUUUAAUUCAAAAAUUUUGGUCUUGUUAGCAGUACCAUAUCUGUUCUCAAUUUGGGACCAUAUACUUUGUGCAGUAUCGGAAUACUGCACACU